CCGGAGGAAGGUGGGGAGUGACGUCAAGUCCUCAUGGCCUUUAUUGCUUAGGGCUACACACGUGCUACAAUGGGUGGUACAAAGAGAAGCCAACUCGCGAGAGCGCGCCAAUCUCAAAAAGACCAUCCUCAGUUCGGAUUGGAGUCUGCAACUCGACUCCAUGAAGUUGGAAUCGCUAGUAAUCGCGGAUCAGCAUGCCGCGGUGAAUACGUUCCCGGGCCUU
Molecule: ribosomal RNA, 223 nt
Filed under: uncultured Smithella sp.
Lineage: Bacteria; Pseudomonadati; Thermodesulfobacteriota; Syntrophia; Syntrophales; Smithellaceae
Description: partial 16S ribosomal RNA
Rfam family: Bacterial small subunit ribosomal RNA
Source: RNAcentral